CGGACGGGUGAGUAAUGUCUGGGAAACUGCCUGAUGGAGGGGGAUAACUACUGGAAACGGUAGCUAAUACCGCAUAACGUCGCAAGACCAAAGAGGGGGACCUUCGGGCCUCUUGCCAUCGGAUGUGCCCAGAUGGGAUUAGCUAGUAGGUGGGGUAACGGCUCACCUAGGCGACGGUCCCUAGCUGGUCUGAGAGGAUGACCAGCCACACUGGAACUGAGACACGGUCCAG
This 232-nucleotide ribosomal RNA is filed under the name uncultured bacterium. Its description in RNAcentral is "partial 16S ribosomal RNA". It matches the Rfam family "Bacterial small subunit ribosomal RNA", at positions 99 to 334 of the family's 1533-position model. The record is from RNAcentral.